UGACCUCGGAUCAGGUAGGGAUACCCGCUGAACUUAAGCAUAUCAAUAAGCGGAGGAAAAGAAACCAACAGGGAUUGCCCUAGUAACGGCGAGUGAAGCGGCAACAGCUCAAAUUUGAAAGCUAGCCUUCGGGUUCGCAUUGUAAUUUGUAGAGGAUGCUUUGGGUAAAACGCCAGUCUAAGUUCCUUGGAACAGGACGUCAUAGAGGGUGAGAAUCCCGUAUGUGACUGGAAAUGUUAACCUAUGUAAAGCUCCUUCGACGAGUCGAGUUGUUUGGGAAUGCAGCUCUAAAUGGGAGGUAAAUUUCUUCUAAAGCUAAAUAUUGGCGAGAGACCGAUAGCGCACAAGUAGAGUGAUCGAAAGAUGAAAAGCACUUUGGAAAGAGAGUUAAAAAGCACGUGAAAUUGUUGAAAGGGAAGCGCUUGCAAUCAGACUUGUUUAAACUGUUCGGCCGGUCUUCUGACCGGUUUACUCAGUUUGGACAGGCCAGCAUCAGUUUCGGCGGCCGGAUAAAGGCAUUGGGAAUGUGGCCUUCACUUCGGUGGAGGUGUUAUAGCCCAGUGUGUAAUACGGCCAGCCGGGACUGAGGUCCGCGCUUCGGCUAGGAUGCUGGCGUAAUGGUUGUAAGCGACCCGUCUUGAAACACGGACC
RNAcentral lists this ribosomal RNA (651 nucleotides) under Aureobasidium pullulans. RNAcentral's name for it is "LSU rRNA". It matches the Rfam family "Eukaryotic large subunit ribosomal RNA", at positions 1 to 667 of the family's 3401-position model. Lineage: Eukaryota; Fungi; Ascomycota; Dothideomycetes; Dothideales; Saccotheciaceae. The record is from RNAcentral.